This 391-nucleotide ribosomal RNA is filed under the name uncultured archaeon. RNAcentral's name for it is "bacterial SSU rRNA". It matches the Rfam family "Archaeal small subunit ribosomal RNA", at positions 471 to 862 of the family's 1478-position model. The record is from RNAcentral.
UAACACCAGCAGCCCAAGUGGUGACCACGAUUAUUGGGCCUAAAGCGCUCGUAGCCGGAUCAGCAAGUCCCUUGUGAAAUCGGGCCGCCUAACGGUUCGGCGUGCAAGGGAUACUGUUGGUCUUGAGGCCGGGAGAGGUCGGAGGUACUCCUGGGGUAGCGGUGAAAUGCUCUAAUCCUAGGGGGACCACCAGUGGCGAAGGCGUCCGACCAGAACGGACCUGACGGUGAGGGGCGAAGGCUAGGGGAGCGAACGGGAUUAGAUACCCCGGUAGUCCUAGCUGUAAAGCAUGCGGGCCAGGUGUCUAGCGCUCCUCGAGGGCGCUAGGUGCCGGAGGGAAGCCGUUAAGCCCGCCGCCUGGGAAGUAGGCCGCAAGGCUGAAACUUAAAGG